Molecule: long non-coding RNA, 438 nt
Filed under: Sorghum bicolor (sorghum)
Lineage: Eukaryota; Viridiplantae; Streptophyta; Magnoliopsida; Poales; Poaceae
Description: long non-coding RNA (SBIC_LNC004056)
Source: RNAcentral
GCCCUUCAUGCAAUCAGGAGCUUGUUAGAUCAAAAUCAUGGUCAGCCUGGAGCAACGCGUAUUAAACAAUGAAUCAAACAGAUCGAGCAUGUUAAUCAUAUACCUACCAGCAACGCAACCUCAGAACAUGCAGAACCUGAUUGCACUUCCACACUAAGGCCCCGUUCGUUUUGCAGGGAACAGCUCCCUGAAAAACUUCCGGUCGGAAUUGCAAGACAAAUUUGUACUACCUUUUAUUAGCUGGAAUGAUUCCCAGUCUGAUUCACCUCUAACCGAACGUGCCCUAAGGUAGUACGUAACAGUCAUCAAGAUCAAUAAUAAGCCACAGGCAAGAACAUGUCUGAGAUUUGUUACACAACCUUGCAGACGCACAAUGCCACAUGGUCAACGUUAUUGAACUUUUAUGUUAUAUGUACCAAUGGGUGUUCUCGUUUGAAG